GACAGAGGGUGCAAACGUUGUUCGGAAUUACUGGGCGUAAAGCGCGUGUAGGCGGCAGGGCAAGUCGGAUGUGAAAUCCCAUGGCUCAACCAUGGAAGUGCACCCGAAACUGCCCAGCUAGAGUCUCGGAGAGGAAGGUGGAAUGCUUGGUGUAGAGGUGAAAUUCGUAGAUAUCAAGCGGAACACCGGUGGCGAAGGCGGCCUUCUGGACGAUGACUGACGCUGAGACGCGAAAGCGUGGGGAGCAAACAGG
This 253-nucleotide ribosomal RNA is filed under the name uncultured bacterium. RNAcentral's name for it is "partial 16S ribosomal RNA". It matches the Rfam family "Bacterial small subunit ribosomal RNA", at positions 524 to 776 of the family's 1533-position model. The record is from RNAcentral.